GGGUUGUGAGGUUAAGCGACUAAGCGUACACGGUGGAUGCCCUGGCAGUCAGAGGCGAUGAAGGACGUGCUAAUCUGCGAUAAGCGUCGGUGAGGUGAUAUGAACCGUUAUAACCGGCGAUUUCCGAAUGGGGAAACCCAGUGUGAUUCGUCACACUAUCAUUAACUGAAUCCAUAGGUUAAUGAGGCGAACCGGGGGAACUGAAACAUCUAAGUACCCCGAGGAAAAGAAAUCAACCGAGAUUCCCCCAGUAGCGGCGAGCGAACGGGGAGCAGCCCAGAGCCUGAAUCAGUGUGUGUGUUAGUGGAAGCGUCUGGAAAGGCGCGCGAUACAGGGUGACAGCCCCGUACACAAAAAUGCACAUACUGUGAGCUCGAUGAGUAGGGCGGGACACGUGGUAUCCUGUCUGAAUAUGGGGGGACCAUCCUCCAAGGCUAAAUACUCCUGACUGACCGAUAGUGAACCAGUACCGUGAGGGAAAGGCGAAAAGAACCCCGGCGAGGGGAGUGAAAAAGAACCUGAAACCGUGUACGUACAAGCAGUGGGAGCACGCUUCGGCGUGUGACUGCGUACCUUUUGUAUAAUGGGUCAGCGACUUAUAUUCUGUAGCAAGGUUAACCGAAUAGGGGAGCCGAAGGGAAACCGAGUCUUAACUGGGCGUUAAGUUGCAGGGUAUAGACCCGAAACCCGGUGAUCUAGCCAUGGGCAGGUUGAAGGUUGGGUAACACUAACUGGAGGACCGAACCGACUAAUGUUGAAAAAUUAGCGGAUGACUUGUGGCUGGGGGUGAAAGGCCAAUCAAACCGGGAGAUAGCUGGUUCUCCCCGAAAGCUAUUUAGGUAGCGCCUCGUGAAUUCAUCUCCGGGGGUAGAGCACUGUUUCGGCAAGGGGGUCAUCCCGACUUACCAACCCGAUGCAAACUGCGAAUACCGGAGAAUGUUAUCACGGGAGACACACGGCGGGUGCUAACGUCCGUCGUGAAGAGGGAAACAACCCAGACCGCCAGCUAAGGUCCCAAAGUCAUGGUUAAGUGGGAAACGAUGUGGGAAGGCCCAGACAGCCAGGAUGUUGGCUUAGAAGCAGCCAUCAUUUAAAGAAAGCGUAAUAGCUCACUGGUCGAGUCGGCCUGCGCGGAAGAUGUAACGGGGCUAAACCAUGCACCGAAGCUGCGGCAGCGACACUAUGUGUUGUUGGGUAGGGGAGCGUUCUGUAAGCCUGUGAAGGUGUACUGUGAGGUAUGCUGGAGGUAUCAGAAGUGCGAAUGCUGACAUAAGUAACGAUAAAGCGGGUGAAAAGCCCGCUCGCCGGAAGACCAAGGGUUCCUGUCCAACGUUAAUCGGGGCAGGGUGAGUCGACCCCUAAGGCGAGGCCGAAAGGCGUAGUCGAUGGGAAACAGGUUAAUAUUCCUGUACUUGGUGUUACUGCGAAGGGGGGACGGAGAAGGCUAUGUUGGCCGGGCGACGGUUGUCCCGGUUUAAGCGUGUAGGCUGGUUUUCCAGGCAAAUCCGGAGAAUCAAGGCUGAGGCGUGAUGACGAGGCACUACGGUGCUGAAGCAACAAAUGCCCUGCUUCCAGGAAAAGCCUCUAAGCAUCAGGUAACAUUAAAUCGUACCCCAAACCGACACAGGUGGUCAGGUAGAGAAUACCAAGGCGCUUGAGAGAACUCGGGUGAAGGAACUAGGCAAAAUGGUGCCGUAACUUCGGGAGAAGGCACGCUGAUACGUAGGUGAAGUCCCUCGCGGAUGGAGCUGAAAUCAGUCGAAGAUACCAGCUGGCUGCAACUGUUUAUUAAAAACACAGCACUGUGCAAACACGAAAGUGGACGUAUACGGUGUGACGCCUGCCCGGUGCCGGAAGGUUAAUUGAUGGGGUCAGCGCAAGCGAAGCUCUUGAUCGAAGCCCCGGUAAACGGCGGCCGUAACUAUAACGGUCCUAAGGUAGCGAAAUUCCUUGUCGGGUAAGUUCCGACCUGCACGAAUGGCGUAAUGAUGGCCAGGCUGUCUCCACCCGAGACUCAGUGAAAUUGAACUCGCUGUGAAGAUGCAGUGUACCCGCGGCAAGACGGAAAGACCCCGUGAACCUUUACUAUAGCUUGACACUGAACAUUGAGCCUUGAUGUGUAGGAUAGGUGGGAGGCUUUGAAGUGUGGACGCCAGUCUGCAUGGAGCCGGCCUUGAAAUACCACCCUUUAAUGUUUGAUGUUCUAACGUAGACCCGUGAUCCGGGUUGCGGACAGUGUCUGGUGGGUAGUUUGACUGGGGCGGUCUCCUCCUAAAGAGUAACGGAGGAGCACGAAGGUUGGCUAAUCCUGGUCGGACAUCAGGAGGUUAGUGCAAUGGCAUAAGCCAGCUUGACUGCGAGCGUGACGGCGCGAGCAGGUGCGAAAGCAGGUCAUAGUGAUCCGGUGGUUCUGAAUGGAAGGGCCAUCGCUCAACGGAUAAAAGGUACUCCGGGGAUAACAGGCUGAUACCGCCCAAGAGUUCAUAUCGACGGCGGUGUUUGGCACCUCGAUGUCGGCUCAUCACAUCCUGGGGCUGAAGUAGGUCCCAAGGGUAUGGCUGUUCGCCAUUUAAAGUGGUACGCGAGCUGGGUUUAGAACGUCGUGAGACAGUUCGGUCCCUAUCUGCCGUGGGCGCUGGAGAACUGAGGGGGGCUGCUCCUAGUACGAGAGGACCGGAGUGGACGCAUCACUGGUGUUCGGGUUGUCAUGCCAAUGGCACUGCCCGGUAGCUAAAUGCGGAAGAGAUAAGUGCUGAAAGCAUCUAAGCACGAAACUUGCCCCGAGAUGAGUUCUCCCUGACCCUUUAAGGGUCCUGAAGGAACGUUGAAGACGACGACGUUGAUAGGCCGGGUGUGUAAGCGCAGCGAUGCGUUGAGCUAACCGGUACUAAUGAACCGUGAGGCUUAACCUUACAACGCCGAAGGUGUUU
Molecule: ribosomal RNA, 2930 nt
Filed under: Escherichia coli
Lineage: Bacteria; Pseudomonadati; Pseudomonadota; Gammaproteobacteria; Enterobacterales; Enterobacteriaceae
Description: 23S ribosomal RNA
Rfam family: Bacterial large subunit ribosomal RNA
Source: RNAcentral